GUCGUACGCUUCUUUUUCACCGGAGCUUGCUCCACCGGAAAAAGAAGAGUGGCGAACGGGUGAGUAACACGUGGGUAACCUGCCCAUCAGAAGGGGAUAACACUUGGAAACAGGUGCUAAUACCGUAUAACAAUCGAAACCGCAUGGUUUUGAUUUGAAAGGCGCUUUCGGGUGUCGCUGAUGGAUGGACCCGCGGUGCAUUAGCUAGUUGGUGAGGUAACGGCUCACCAAGGCCACGAUGCAUAGCCGACCUGAGAGGGUGAUCGGCCACAUUGGGACUGAGACACGGCCCAAACUCCUACGGGAGGCAGCAGUAGGGAAUCUUCGGCAAUGGACGAAAGUCUGACCGAGCAACGCCGCGUGAGUGAAGAAGGUUUUCGGAUCGUAAAACUCUGUUGUUAGAGAAGAACAAGGAUGAGAGUAACUGUUCAUCCCUUGACGGUAUCUAACCAGAAAGCCACGGCUAACUACGUGCCAGCAGCCGCGGUAAUACGUAGGUGGCAAGCGUUGUCCGGAUUUAUUGGGCGUAAAGCGAGCGCAGGCGGUUUCUUAAGUCUGAUGUGAAAGCCCCCGGCUCAACCGGGGAGGGUCAUUGGAAACUGGGAGACUUGAGUGCAGAAGAGGAGAGUGGAAUUCCAUGUGUAGCGGUGAAAUGCGUAGAUAUAUGGAGGAACACCAGUGGCGAAGGCGGCUCUCUGGUCUGUAACUGACGCUGAGGCUCGAAAGCGUGGGGAGCAAACAGGAUUAGAUACCCUGGUAGUCCACGCCGUAAACGAUGAGUGCUAAGUGUUGGAGGGUUUCCGCCCUUCAGUGCUGCAGCUAACGCAUUAAGCACUCCGCCUGGGGAGUACGACCGCAAGGUUGAAACUCAAAGGAAUUGACGGGGGCCCGCACAAGCGGUGGAGCAUGUGGUUUAAUUCGAAGCAACGCGAAGAACCUUACCAGGUCUUGACAUCCUUUGACCACUCUAGAGAUAGAGCUUCCCCUUCGGGGGCAAAGUGACAGGUGGUGCAUGGUUGUCGUCAGCUCGUGUCGUGAGAUGUUGGGUUAAGUCCCGCAACGAGCGCAACCCUUAUUGUUAGUUGCCAUCAUUUAGUUGGGCACUCUAGCAAGACUGCCGGUGACAAACCGGAGGAAGGUGGGGAUGACGUCAAAUCAUCAUGCCCCUUAUGACCUGGGCUACACACGUGCUACAAUGGGAAGUACAACGAGUCGCGAAGUCGCGAGGCUAAGCUAAUCUCUUAAAGCUUCUCUCAGUUCGGAUUGUAGGCUGCAACUCGCCUACAUGAAGCCGGAAUCGCUAGUAAUCGCGGAUCAGCACGCCGCGGUGAAUACGUUCCCGGGCCUUGUACACACCGCCCGUCACACCACGAGAGUUUGUAACACCCGAAGUCGGUGAGGUAACC
RNAcentral lists this ribosomal RNA (1406 nucleotides) under Enterococcus durans. RNAcentral describes it as "bacterial SSU rRNA". It matches the Rfam family "Bacterial small subunit ribosomal RNA". Lineage: Bacteria; Bacillati; Bacillota; Bacilli; Lactobacillales; Enterococcaceae. The record is from RNAcentral.